UACGUAGGGGGCAAGCGUUGUCCGGAAUCAUUGGGCGUAAAGAGCGUGUAGGCGGCCCGGUAAGUCCGCUGUGAAAGUCAAAGGCUCAACCUUUGAAUGUCAGCGGAUACUGCCGGGCUAGAGUCCGGAAGAGGCGAGUGGAAUUCCUGGUGUAGCGGUGGAAUGCGCAGAUAUCAGGAGGAACACCAACGGCGAAGGCAGCUCGCUAGGACGGUACUGACGCUGAGACGCGAAAGCGUGGGGAGCGAACAGG
RNAcentral lists this ribosomal RNA (253 nucleotides) under uncultured bacterium. RNAcentral's name for it is "partial 16S ribosomal RNA". It matches the Rfam family "Bacterial small subunit ribosomal RNA", at positions 524 to 776 of the family's 1533-position model. The record is from RNAcentral.